UGAUGAACUCCCUAAUUGAUAAAUACUUCAAAGCACCAGGUAUUACUACUCUGACAUAGAACUAUUGCAGAUCCUGUAUGAUUUGUGCCAAAUGUAACCCCUGAAAGAUUAUUAAAGCUGCUCCUAAUCACCUGGCUAAACCACAGUAUCCCUUCCAGAGAAUACAGAUUGAUCAUAUACAGAUGCCGAAGAGUGGACGAUAUGAGUAUGCACUAGUCAUAGUGGACAU
Non-coding RNA from Pelobates cultripes (western spadefoot toad), 229 nucleotides. Lineage: Eukaryota; Metazoa; Chordata; Amphibia; Anura; Pelobatidae. The record is from the annotation of a GenBank genome assembly.